This is a non-coding RNA of Arachis ipaensis, 694 nucleotides long. The record is from RefSeq and is a predicted model, not a curated record. NCBI's taxonomy places the organism in Eukaryota, Viridiplantae, Streptophyta, Magnoliopsida, Fabales, Fabaceae.
GUCAGAGCCCUCACUCACUCUUUGUAUCUUUCUUUCUUUUUCUUUCUGAAAAAUAAAGCCUCGUAUCUCUCUCUCCCUCAUCUGGCUUAUAGCCAUUUCUUCCUCUUUUAUUUAUUUAUUUAUUUUUAAUUUUAAAAUAUGGAUCUCACUUGAGUUGGAGACCCACCAACACCCAGGAACCCCACUUCUGUCACCCUCCGCCUAUUCUUUCAUGAUUGCCUCAUUCAGGGUUACGAUGCUUCAGUGCUGUUGGAUGCUAGCAAUGGCAACAGAAACCAUUCCACUGAGAAGGGCUUCUCCCUUCUCCUCUCUUCUCUCUGGUUUUGAAAAAAAGGGUAUUUUUUUUUCAGGAAUUAGAGGAAGGCCGAUUUUGAAGGCCAAAAAUAUUUUAGGAAUGGUUUUGUUUUGCAACCAAAAUCGUACUUCUCCAUUUUCAAAACUAACUUUAACAUGUAUGGUUUUAGGCAUGUUCUAACAUGUCAAUCUCUAGAUUUUGUAUAUACUGUGCAAUGCGUUCCUUUAACCAUUUGUCACACACAAAUGGUAGUUGUUUUUUAUCAACGAUUUUCAAGCACAUUCCAUUAAAUGAGGUUCUCAUUAAUUUUCAGUUUGAAGUCGUAAUUAACCAGUUUACAUUAUGCGAUGAACAUACUGUAAUUUAUCAACCUACCAUCAAUGAAGAGUUCUUCUCUCC